UGGCCUUUCCAACGUGCUAGUUUCUGCAG
Molecule: non-coding RNA, 29 nt
Filed under: Rattus norvegicus (Norway rat)
Lineage: Eukaryota; Metazoa; Chordata; Mammalia; Rodentia; Muridae
Source: RNAcentral